AGAGUUUGAUCCUGGCUCAGGACGAACGCUGGCGGCGUGCCUAAUACAUGCAAGUCGAGCGGAUUUAUCCUUCGGGAUAAGUUAGCGGCGGACGGGUGAGUAACACGUAGGUAACCUGCCUAUAAGACUGGGAUAACUAUCGGAAACGAUAGCUAAGACCGGAUAACUGGUUUUCUCGCAUGAGAGAAUUAUGAAACACGGAGCAAUCUGUGGCUUAUAGAUGGGCCUGCGGCGCAUUAGCUAGUUGGUGAGGUAACGGCUUACCAAGGCGACGAUGCGUAGCCGACCUGAGAGGGUGAACGGCCACACUGGGACUGAGACACGGCCCAGACUCCUACGGGAGGCAGCAGUAGGGAAUCUUCCGCAAUGGACGCAAGUCUGACGGAGCAACGCCGCGUGAGUGAUGAAGGUUUUCGGAUCGUAAAGCUCUGUUGCCCUAGACGAACAGCAAGGAGAGUAACUGCUCUUUGUGUGACGGUAUAGGAGAAGAAAGCCCCGGCUAACUACGUGCCAGCAGCCGCGGUAAUACGUAGGGGGCAAGCGUUGUCCGGAAUUAUUGGGCGUAAAGCGCGCGCAGGCGGUCAAUUAAGUUGGGUGUUUAAGCCCGGGGCUCAACCCCGGUUCGCAUCCAAAACUGGUUGACUUGAGUGUAGGAGAGGAAAGUGGAAUUCCACGUGUAGCGGUGAAAUGCGUAGAGAUGUGGAGGA
This 707-nucleotide ribosomal RNA is filed under the name uncultured bacterium. RNAcentral's name for it is "bacterial SSU rRNA". It matches the Rfam family "Bacterial small subunit ribosomal RNA", at positions 8 to 705 of the family's 1533-position model. The record is from RNAcentral.